GUAGGUGGCAAGCGUUGUCCGGAAUUAUUGGGCGUAAAGCGCGCGCAGGCGGUUCUUUAAGUCUGAUGUGAAAGCCCACGGCUCAACCGCGGAGGGUCAUUGGAAACUGGAGAACUUGAGUACAGAAGAGGAAAGCGGAAUUCCACGUGUAGCGGUGAAAUGCGUAGAGAUGUGGAGGAACACCAGUGGCGAAGGCGGCUUUCUGGUCUGUAACUGACGCUGAGGCGCGAAAGCGUGGGGAGCAAACAGGAUUAGAUACCCUGGUAGUCCACGCCGUAAACGAUGAGUGCUAAGUGUUAGGGGGGUUUCCGCCCCCCUUAGUGCUGCAGCUAACGCAUUAAGCACUCCGCCUGGGAGUACGGCCGCAAGGCUG
This 373-nucleotide ribosomal RNA is filed under the name uncultured organism. RNAcentral describes it as "partial 16S ribosomal RNA". It matches the Rfam family "Bacterial small subunit ribosomal RNA", at positions 527 to 896 of the family's 1533-position model. The record is from RNAcentral.